CCUACGGGAGGCUGCAGUGAGGAAUAUUGGUCAAUGGGCGAGAGCCUGAACCAGCCAAGUCGCGUGAAGGAUGAAGGAUCUAUGGUUUGUAAACUUCUUUUAUAAAGGAAUAAAGUGAGGCACGUGUGCCUUUUUGUAUGUACUUUAUGAAUAAGGAUCGGCUAACUCCGUGCCAGCAGCCGCGGUAAUACGGAGGAUCCGAGCGUUAUCCGGAUUUAUUGGGUUUAAAGGGAGCGUAGAUGGGUUGUUAAGUCAGUUGUGAAAGUUUGCGGCUCAACCGUAAAAUUGCAAUUGAUACUGGCAGUCGUGAGUACAGUUGAGGUAGGCGGAAUUCGUGGUGUAGCGGUGAAAUGCUUAGAUAUCACGAAGAACUCCGAUUGCGAAGGCAGCUUACUAAACUGCCACUGACAUUGAUGCUCGAAAGUGUGGGUAUCAAACAGGAUUAGAUACCCUUGUAGUC
This 460-nucleotide ribosomal RNA is filed under the name uncultured bacterium. RNAcentral's name for it is "partial 16S ribosomal RNA". It matches the Rfam family "Bacterial small subunit ribosomal RNA", at positions 338 to 795 of the family's 1533-position model. The record is from RNAcentral.